GACGCUGGCGGCAGGCCUAACACAUGCAAGUCGAGCGCUUCCCUUCGGGGAGGAGCGGCGGACGGGUUAGUAACGCGUGGGAACAUACCCUUCUCUACGGAAUAGCCUCGGGAAACUGAGAGUAAUACCGUAUACGCCCUUCGGGGGAAAGAUUUAUCGGAGAAGGAUUGGCCCGCGUUAGAUUAGAUAGUUGGUGAGGUAACGGCUCACCAAGUCUACGAUCUAUAGCUGGUUUUAGAGGAUGAUCAGCAACACUGGGACUGAGACACGGCCCAGACUCCUACGGGAGGCAGCAGUGGGGAAUCUUGGACAAUGGGCGCAAGCCUGAUCCAGCCAUGCCGCGUGUGUGAUGAAGGCCUUAGGGUCGUAAAGCACUUUCGCCAGAGAUGAUAAUGACAGUAUCUGGUAAAGAAACCCCGGCUAACUCCGUGCCAGCAGCCGCGGUAAUACGGAGGGGGUUAGCGUUGUUCGGAAUUACUGGGCGUAAAGCGUACGUAGGCGGAUCAGAAAGUAUGGGGUGAAAUCCCA
This 528-nucleotide ribosomal RNA is filed under the name uncultured Sulfitobacter sp. Its description in RNAcentral is "bacterial SSU rRNA". It matches the Rfam family "Bacterial small subunit ribosomal RNA", at positions 32 to 604 of the family's 1533-position model. The record is from RNAcentral. Lineage: Bacteria; Pseudomonadati; Pseudomonadota; Alphaproteobacteria; Rhodobacterales; Roseobacteraceae.